CCUACGUGAGGCAGCAGUGAGGAAUAUUGGUCAAUGGGCGCGAGCCUGAACCAGCCAAGUAGCGUGAAGGAUGACUGCCCUACGGGUUGUAAACUUCUUUUAUAAAGGAAUAAAGUGAGGCACGUGUGCCUUUUUGUAUUUACUUUAUGAAUAAGGAUCGGCUAACUCCGUGCCAGCAGCCGCGGUAAUACGGAGGAUCCGAGCGUUAUCCGGAUUUAUUGGGUUUAAAGGGAGCGUAGGUGGGUUGUUAAGUCAGUGGUGAAAGGUUGCGGCUCAACCGUAAAAUUGCAAUUGAUACUGGCAGUCUUGAGGACAGUUGAGGUAGGCGGAAUUCGUGGUGUAGCGGUGAAAUGCUUAGAUAUCACGAAGAACUCCGAUUGCGAAGGCAGCUUACUAAACUGCAACUGACAUUGAUGCUCGAAAGCGUGGGGAGCAAACAGGAUUAGAUACCCGAGUAGUC
RNAcentral lists this ribosomal RNA (460 nucleotides) under uncultured bacterium. Its description in RNAcentral is "partial 16S ribosomal RNA". It matches the Rfam family "Bacterial small subunit ribosomal RNA", at positions 338 to 795 of the family's 1533-position model. The record is from RNAcentral.